CACACCCCACAGAUACAAACAUAGGAGGGUCUUUUGAAGAACAGCAGUUGCUGGGUUUUGGUCACAGCAGAUAACCAUGAACUGGUUACUCCCUGCCUUCAGCAGCACUCCUUGUGGACAAGUAAUAAGUUCUGCAGUAUUGGACUUCUUUUAUGUAAUGGAAGAUAAUGAGAGGCACAGCAAGAAGCAGGUUUAUUGCGUCCUAUAGAAAUGUAUCAAUCCAAAGGUGGAAUGUCACUUCCUUAACUUGGUCUUCUCUGUGUCACUGAGUUGAUGUGAUGAGGCUUUGGUACAGUCCCAGCCGGCCAGUGGUGGAUUUCCUUCGAGGCAGAGG
Molecule: long non-coding RNA, 334 nt
Organism: Zonotrichia leucophrys gambelii
Lineage: Eukaryota; Metazoa; Chordata; Aves; Passeriformes; Passerellidae
Exons: 3
Source: RefSeq, a predicted model, not a curated record